CUAUCUGCAGUCGAGCGGACAGAAGGGAGCUUGCUCCCGGAUGUUGGCGGCGGACGGGUGAGUAACACGUGGGUAACCUGCCUGUAAGACUGGGAUAACUCCGGGAAACCGGAGCUAAUACCGGAUAGUUCCUUGAACCGCAUGGUUCAAGGAUGAAAGACGGUUUCGGCUGUCACUUACAGAUGGACCCGCGGCGCAUUAGCUAGUUGGUGAGGUAACGGCUCACCAAGGCGACGAUGCGUAGCCGACCUGAGAGGGUGAUCGGCCACACUGGGACUGAGACACGGCCCAGACUCCUACGGGAGGCAGCAGUAGGGAAUCUUCCGCAAUGGACGAAAGUCUGACGGAGCAACGCCGCGUGAGUGAUGAAGGUUUUCGGAUCGUAAAGCUCUGUUGUUAGGGAAGAACAAGUGCAAGAGUAACUGCUUGCACCUUGACGGUACCUAACCAGAAAGCCACGGCUAACUACGUGCCAGCAGCCGCGGUAAUACGUAAGUGGCAAGCGUUGUCCGGAAUUAUUGGGCGUAAAGGGCUCGCAGGCGGUUUCUUAAGUCUGAUGUGAAAGCCCCCGGCUCAACCGGGGAGGGUCAUUGGAAACUGGGAAACUUGAGUGCAGAAGAGGAGAGUGGAAUUCCACGUGUAGCGGUGAAAUGCGUAGAGAUGUGGAGGAACACCAGUGGCGAAGGCGACUCUCUGGUCUGUAACUGACGCUGAGGAGCGAAAGCGUGGGGAGCGAACAGGAUUAGAUACCCUGGUAGUCCACGCCGUAAACGAUGAGUGCUAAGUGUUAGGGGGUUUCCGCCCCUUAGUGCUGCAGCUAACGCAUUAAGCACUCCGCCUGGGGAGUACG
RNAcentral lists this ribosomal RNA (850 nucleotides) under uncultured bacterium. RNAcentral describes it as "bacterial SSU rRNA". It matches the Rfam family "Bacterial small subunit ribosomal RNA", at positions 51 to 884 of the family's 1533-position model. The record is from RNAcentral.